Molecule: long non-coding RNA, 312 nt
Organism: Solanum tuberosum (potato)
Lineage: Eukaryota; Viridiplantae; Streptophyta; Magnoliopsida; Solanales; Solanaceae
Exons: 2
Source: RefSeq, a predicted model, not a curated record
CUAUUAGACCUUGGAUGUCUGUAGUUUACAGGUGGCUCUAUGAUUUCAAUUCUCGUGAGUACUUUUACGAUGGUUCAUCAUAUGGCACCCAACAUACCCUUCAAAACUUCUGAGGAUAUCUUCAAUGAAAUUAGACUACAUUUUCAAUUAUCCUUUUCUUUGACAUUUUGAUGACAAACACCAUAUAGUUUAACCAUCUGAUUAUGAAAUGAAAGUAUUCCAUCGAGGUGCAUUUCUGGUCAUGGUCAUGUAUUAUGUUAAAGUCCUUUAACCUAGAAGAUGAAAAUAGAUGAAUGUUUUCCUUUAUCUCGA